ACUGAACUGAAGACAGUGAAGCCUGGUGGAGCAUCAUGACUUGGAGAUGUUUCUCGGGUCUGUUGAUCACAUCCCAGGAUCAGGGAUCAGUUUGAACACAUCAGAACAUUUGAAGAGGAUAUGUCCUUCAAAUGGGUUUUUCUACACACAA
Long non-coding RNA from Thalassophryne amazonica, 151 nucleotides. RefSeq lists it as uncharacterized. The transcript is spliced from 4 exons. The record is from RefSeq and is a predicted model, not a curated record. Lineage: Eukaryota; Metazoa; Chordata; Actinopteri; Batrachoidiformes; Batrachoididae.